This 976-nucleotide ribosomal RNA is filed under the name Microbacterium sp. Its description in RNAcentral is "bacterial SSU rRNA". It matches the Rfam family "Bacterial small subunit ribosomal RNA", at positions 493 to 1465 of the family's 1533-position model. The record is from RNAcentral. Lineage: Bacteria; Bacillati; Actinomycetota; Actinomycetes; Micrococcales; Microbacteriaceae.
CCGGCUAACUACGUGCCAGCAGCCGCGGUAAUACGUAGGGCGCAAGCGUUAUCCGGAAUUAUUGGGCGUAAAGAGCUCGUAGGCGGUUUGUCGCGUCUGCUGUGAAAACCCGAGGCUCAACCUCGGGCCUGCAGUGGGUACGGGCAGACUAGAGUGCGGUAGGGGAGAUUGGAAUUCCUGGUGUAGCGGUGGAAUGCGCAGAUAUCAGGAGGAACACCGAUGGCGAAGGCAGAUCUCUGGGCCGUAACUGACGCUGAGGAGCGAAAGGGUGGGGAGCAAACAGGCUUAGAUACCCUGGUAGUCCACCCCGUAAACGUUGGGAACUAGUUGUGGGGUCCAUUCCACGGAUUCCGUGACGCAGCUAACGCAUUAAGUUCCCCGCCUGGGGAGUACGGCCGCAAGGCUAAAACUCAAAGGAAUUGACGGGGACCCGCACAAGCGGCGGAGCAUGCGGAUUAAUUCGAUGCAACGCGAAGAACCUUACCAAGGCUUGACAUAUACGAGAACGGGCCAGAAAUGGUCAACUCUUUGGACACUCGUAAACAGGUGGUGCAUGGUUGUCGUCAGCUCGUGUCGUGAGAUGUUGGGUUAAGUCCCGCAACGAGCGCAACCCUCGUUCUAUGUUGCCAGCACGUAAUGGUGGGAACUCAUGGGAUACUGCCGGGGUCAACUCGGAGGAAGGUGGGGAUGACGUCAAAUCAUCAUGCCCCUUAUGUCUUGGGCUUCACGCAUGCUACAAUGGCCGGUACAAAGGGCUGCAAUACCGCAAGGUGGAGCGAAUCCCAAAAAGCCGGUCCCAGUUCGGAUUGAGGUCUGCAACUCGACCUCAUGAAGUCGGAGUCGCUAGUAAUCGCAGAUCAGCAACGCUGCGGUGAAUACGUUCCCGGGUCUUGUACACACCGCCCGUCAAGUCAUGAAAGUCGGUAACACCUGAAGCCGGUUGCCCAACCCUUGUGGAGGGAGCCGUCGAAGGUGG